UACGAAGGGGGCUAGCGUUGCUCUGAUUGACUGGGCGUAAAGGGCGCGUAGGCGGUUUGCACAGUUGGGCGUGAAAUUCCUGGGCUUAACCUGGGGGCUGCGUUCAAUACGUGUAGGCUUGAGUUCGGAAGAGGGUCGUGGAAUUCCCAGUGUAGAGGUGAAAUUCGUAGAUAUUGGGAAGAACACCGGUGGCGAAGGCGGCGACCUGGUCCGAUACUGACGCUGAGGCGCGAAAGCGUGGGGAGCAAACAGG
This 253-nucleotide ribosomal RNA is filed under the name uncultured bacterium. RNAcentral's name for it is "partial 16S ribosomal RNA". It matches the Rfam family "Bacterial small subunit ribosomal RNA", at positions 524 to 776 of the family's 1533-position model. The record is from RNAcentral.